AGGUUCACACAACAGGAAAGAAGUAAAAAUUGCCCAUGAUGUAUGAUCCUGGAAUCUUACUUACCAAAGUUCACACACAAGACAAAGUGAGAACAGCCAAUGAUAUAUGAUGCUGGAAUCUCACUUACCUAAGUUCACACACAGGAAAGAAGUAAAAAUUGCCCAUGAUGUAUGAUCCUGGAAUCUUACUUACCUAAGUUCACAC
RNAcentral lists this long non-coding RNA (205 nucleotides) under Mytilus galloprovincialis (Mediterranean mussel). Lineage: Eukaryota; Metazoa; Mollusca; Bivalvia; Mytilida; Mytilidae. The record is from RNAcentral.